GCUCCCGUAGCUCAGCCUGGAUAGAGCGACGGACUUCUAAUCCGUAGGUCGCAGGUUCAAAUCCUGUCGGGAGCG
RNAcentral lists this transfer RNA (75 nucleotides) under Candidatus Pacearchaeota archaeon CG10_big_fil_rev_8_21_14_0_10_31_24. RNAcentral's name for it is "tRNA-Arg". It matches the Rfam family "tRNA". From Rfam's summary of the family: Transfer RNA (tRNA) molecules are approximately 80 nucleotides in length. Their secondary structure includes four short double-helical elements and three loops (D, anti-codon, and T loops). Further hydrogen bonds mediate the characteristic L-shaped molecular structure. tRNAs have two regions of fundamental functional importance: the anti-codon, which is responsible for specific mRNA codon recognition, and the 3' end, to which the tRNAs corresponding amino acid is attached (by aminoacyl-tRNA synthetases). tRNAs cope with the degeneracy of the genetic code in two manners: having more than one tRNA (with a specific anti-codon) for a particular amino acid; and 'wobble' base-pairing, i.e. permitting non-standard base-pairing at the 3rd anti-codon position. The record is from RNAcentral. Lineage: Archaea; Nanobdellati.